Molecule: ribosomal RNA, 230 nt
Filed under: uncultured bacterium
Lineage: Bacteria
Description: partial 16S ribosomal RNA
Rfam family: Bacterial small subunit ribosomal RNA
Source: RNAcentral
GUAUCAUGGCUCAGAUUGAACGCUGGCGGCAUGCUUUACACAUGCAAGUCGAACGGCAGCACAGGGAGCUUGCUCCCGGGUGGCGAGUGGCGCACGGGUGAGUAAUACAUCGGAACGUGUCCUGUUGUGGGGGAUAACUGCUCGAAAGGUGGCUAAUACCGCAUGAGACCUGAGGGUGAAAGCGGGGGAUCGCAAGACCUCGCGCAAUUGAAGCGGCCGAUGCCCGAUUA